UUGACCUCGGAUCAGGUAGGGAUACCCGCUGAACUUAAGCAUAUCAAUAAGCCGGGAGGAAAAAGAUCAUUAUCAAAAC
Molecule: ribosomal RNA, 79 nt
Filed under: Parathyridaria flabelliae
Lineage: Eukaryota; Fungi; Ascomycota; Dothideomycetes; Pleosporales; Thyridariaceae
Description: partial 28S ribosomal RNA
Source: RNAcentral